RNAcentral lists this ribosomal RNA (889 nucleotides) under uncultured bacterium. Its description in RNAcentral is "bacterial SSU rRNA". It matches the Rfam family "Bacterial small subunit ribosomal RNA", at positions 8 to 916 of the family's 1533-position model. The record is from RNAcentral.
AGAGUUUGAUCCUGGCUCAGGAUGAACGCUGGCGGCGUGCUUAAUACAUGCAAGUCGAACGGAGAGUUAGCAAUAGCUCUUAGUGGCGAACGGGUGAGUAACGCGUUGGUGACCUGUCCCGAAGAUGGGGAUAACAGUUCGAAAGGACUGCUAAUACCCGAUGUGGUUACGAGGGUUAGAGGCCUGGUAACUGAAGGAGCGAUCCGCUUCGGGAGGGGCCUGCGUCCCAUCAGCUAGUUGGUAGGGUAAAGGCCUACCAAGGCAGAGACGGGUAGGGGGCCUGAGAGGGUGACCCCCCACACUGGCACUGAAACACGGGCCAGACACCUACGGGUGGCAGCAGUAGGGAAUAUUGCACAAUGGGCGAAAGCCUGAUGCAGCAACGCCGCGUGCGCGAUGAAGGCCUUCGGGUUGUAAAGCGCUUUUCGGGGAGAUGAGGAAGGACAGUAUCCCCGGAAUAAGGCUCGGCUAACUACGUGCCAGCAGCCGCGGUAAAACGUAGGAGCCAAGCGUUAUCCGAAUUCACUGGGCGUAAAGCGUGUGCAGGCGGCACCAUAAGUUGGAUGUGAAAUCUCCUGGCUCAACUGGGAGAGGCCGUUCAAUACUGUGGAGCUCGAGGGCAACAGAGGGAGGUGGAAUUCCCGGUGUAGUGGUGAAAUGCGUAGAUAUCGGGAGGAACACCAGUGGCGAAAGCGGCCUCCUGGGUUGCACCUGACGCUCAGACACGAAAGCUAGGGGAGCGAACGGGAUUAGAAACCCCGGUAGUCCUAGCCGUAAACGAUGUAGACUUGGUGUCAGAGGGGUAAAAGCCUUUGGUGCCGAAGCUAACGCGAUAAGUCUACCGCCUGGGGACUACGGCCGCAAGGUUAAAACUCAAAGGAAUUGAUGG